This 253-nucleotide ribosomal RNA is filed under the name uncultured bacterium. RNAcentral's name for it is "partial 16S ribosomal RNA". It matches the Rfam family "Bacterial small subunit ribosomal RNA", at positions 524 to 776 of the family's 1533-position model. The record is from RNAcentral.
UACGGAGGGUGCAAGCGUUAAUCGGAAUUACUGGGCGUAAAGCGCACGCAGGUGGCUGAGUCAGUCGAUUGUGAAAGCCCUGGGCUUAACCUGGGAAUUGCAGUCGAUACUACUCAGCUAGAGUAUGGGAGAGGGUAGUGGAAUUCCCGGUGUAGUGGUGAAAUGCGUAGAUAUCGGGAGGAACAUCAGUGGCGAAGGCGGCUACCUGGCCCAAUACUGACACUCAGGUGCGACAGCGUGGGGAGCAAACAGG